This 378-nucleotide ribosomal RNA is filed under the name Schmidingerella taraikaensis. RNAcentral describes it as "partial Bacterial small subunit ribosomal RNA". It matches the Rfam family "Bacterial small subunit ribosomal RNA", at positions 341 to 711 of the family's 1533-position model. The record is from RNAcentral. Lineage: Eukaryota; Ciliophora; Spirotrichea; Tintinnida; Rhabdonellidae.
ACGGGAGGCAGCAGUGGGGAAUAUUGCACAAUGGGGGAAACCCUGAUGCAGCCAUGCCGCGUGUGUGAAGAAGGCCUUCGGGUUGUAAAGCUCUUUUGUCAGGGAAGAAACGGCAGGGGCUAAUAUCCUUUGCUAAUGACGGUACCUGAAGAAUAAGCACCGGCUAACUACGUGCCAGCAGCCGCGGUAAUACGUAGGGUCCGAGCGUUAUCCGGAAUUAUUGGGUUUAAAGGGUCCGUAGGCGGGUCUUUAAGUCAGUGGUGAAAGCCUGCAGCUUAACUGUAGAAUUGCCAUUGAUACUGGAGACCUUGAGUACACUUGAAGUAAGCGGAAUGUGUCAUGUAGCGGUGAAAUGCUUAGAUAUGACCCAGAACACCG